GGGGAAUAUUGGACAAUGGGCGCAAGCCUGAUCCAGCAAUGCCUCGUGUGUGAAGAAGGUCUUCGGAUUGUAAAGCACUUUCGGCGGGGACGAUGAUGACGGUUCCCGCAGAAGAAGCCCCGGCUAACUUCGUGCCAGCAGCCGCGGUAAUACGAAGGGGGCUAGCGUUGCUCGGAAUGACUGGGCGUAAAGGGCGCGUAGGCGGUUUGUACAGUCAGAUGUGAAAUUCCUGGGCUCAACCUGGGACUGCAUUUGAUACGUGCGGGCUUGAGUGUGGAAGAGGGUUGUGGAAUUCCCAGUGUAGAGGUGAAAUUCGUAGAUAUUGGGAAGAACACCGGUGGCGAAGGCGGCAACCUGGUCCAUUACUGACGCUGAGGCGCGAAAGCGUGGGGAGCAAA
RNAcentral lists this ribosomal RNA (398 nucleotides) under uncultured bacterium. RNAcentral's name for it is "bacterial SSU rRNA". It matches the Rfam family "Bacterial small subunit ribosomal RNA", at positions 356 to 772 of the family's 1533-position model. The record is from RNAcentral.